Molecule: ribosomal RNA, 211 nt
Filed under: Chromis atripectoralis (black-axil chromis)
Lineage: Eukaryota; Metazoa; Chordata; Actinopteri; Pomacentridae
Description: partial 16S ribosomal RNA
Source: RNAcentral
GCCCAAUAGCUAGCCUACCCCCAACAAAAUCAAUAACACCCCAUACAUACCCCCCAACAUACUACUAACCUAAAACAAACCAUUUUUCCUCCCAAGUACGGGCGACAGAAAAGGAACUAAGAGCAAUAGAGAAAGUACCGCAAGGGAAAGCUGAAAGAGAAAUGAAACAACCCAGUGAAGCCUAAAAAAGCAGAGACACACCCUCGAUUUU